AACGAACGCUGGCGGCAUGCCUAACACAUGCAAGUCGAACGAGGUCUUCGGGUCUAGUGGCGCACGGGUGCGUAACGCGUGGGAAUCUGCCCUUUGGUUCGGAAUAACAGUUGGAAACGACUGCUAAUACCGGAUGAUGACGAAAGUCCAAAGAUUUAUCGCUAGAGAAUGAGCCCGCGUAGGAUUAGCUAGUUGGUGUGGUAAAGGCGCACCAAGGCGACGAUCCUUAGCUGGUCUGAGAGGAUGAUCAGCCACACUGGGACUGAGACACGGCCCAGACUCCUACGGGAGGCAGCAGUGGGGAAUAUUGGACAAUGGGCGAAAGCCUGAUCCAGCAAUGCCGCGUGAGUGAUGAAGGCCUUAGGGUUGUAAAGCUCUUUUACCCGGGAUGAUAAUGACAGUACCGGGAGAAUAGGCUCCGGCUAACUCCGUGCCAGCCGCCGCCGUAA
Molecule: ribosomal RNA, 449 nt
Filed under: uncultured bacterium
Lineage: Bacteria
Description: partial 16S ribosomal RNA
Rfam family: Bacterial small subunit ribosomal RNA
Source: RNAcentral